CGCUGGCGGUGCGCCUUAUGCAUGCAAGUCGAGCGAAGCUUUUCAGUAGUUUACUACAGAAAAUGACUGAGCGGCGAACGGGUGAGUAACGCGUGAGCAACCUACCUUAGUUACUGGGAUAGCCCGAGGAAACUCGGAUUAAUACCGGAUAUUCUUAUUUAAUCACAUGAUUUUUUAAGGAAAGGUCAGCCGAACUAAGAUGGGCUCGCGUUCUAUCAGCUAGUUGGUAGGGUAAUGGCCUACCAAGGCUACGACGGAUAGCUGGUCUGAGAGGACGAUCAGCCACACUGGGACUGAGACACGGCCCAGACUCCUACGGGAGGCUGCAGCAGGGAAUAUUGCGCAAUGAGCGAAAGCUUGACGCAGCGACACCGCGUGUGGGAUGACGGAUCUAGGUUUGUAAACCACUUUCAGGAGGGAAGAAAAUGACGGUACCUCCACAAGAAGCCCCGGCCAACUACGUGCCAGCAGCCGCGGUAAUACGUAGGGGGCGAGCGUUGUCCGGAUUUAUUGGGCGUAAAGAGCUCGUAGGCGGUUCAACAAGUCGGUCGUGAAAGUUCAGGGCUCAACCCUGAAAUGUCGAUCGAUACUGUUGUGACUAGGAUACGGUAGAGGUGAGUGGAAUUCCGAGUGUAGCGGUGAAAUGCGUAGAUAUUCGGAGGAACACCAAUUGCGAAGGCAGCUCACUGGGCCGCUAUCGACGCUGAGGAGCGAAAGCUAGGGGAGCAAACAGGAUUAGAUACCCUGGUAGUCCUAGCUGUAAACGAUGGAUACUAGACGUAGGAAUUGGAUUAACGAUUUCUGUGUCGUAGCUAACGCGUUAAGUAUCCCGCC
RNAcentral lists this ribosomal RNA (834 nucleotides) under uncultured bacterium. Its description in RNAcentral is "bacterial SSU rRNA". It matches the Rfam family "Bacterial small subunit ribosomal RNA", at positions 34 to 873 of the family's 1533-position model. The record is from RNAcentral.